This 76-nucleotide transfer RNA is filed under the name Pikeienuella piscinae. RNAcentral describes it as "tRNA-Thr". It matches the Rfam family "tRNA". From Rfam's summary of the family: Transfer RNA (tRNA) molecules are approximately 80 nucleotides in length. Their secondary structure includes four short double-helical elements and three loops (D, anti-codon, and T loops). The record is from RNAcentral. Lineage: Bacteria; Pseudomonadati; Pseudomonadota; Alphaproteobacteria; Rhodobacterales; Paracoccaceae.
GCCGGCUUAGCUCAGAUGGUAGAGCGCGUGAUUUGUAAUCACGAUGUCGGGGGUUCGAGUCCCUCAGCCGGCGCCA